UCGGUAUCUAAUAUCUUUUAGAUCAGCAUAUUUUCGUUAUUAUUAACUCAAUUUCCCCAAAUUUGAUGCAGAGUUAUUGAUGUAUAAGUUGCUUGUCACAGUUAAUGGGACUUAUAGCAGUAAUUUGGUUAAAUUUUAAAUAGACCAGACACGUGCUAGAAGUUUCCGGACACUAACUAACAACAGAUCCCUGUUCUAAAUCAGUCCUUACGUCAGUCCAUG
RNAcentral lists this long non-coding RNA (222 nucleotides) under Mytilus galloprovincialis (Mediterranean mussel). Lineage: Eukaryota; Metazoa; Mollusca; Bivalvia; Mytilida; Mytilidae. The record is from RNAcentral.